CAAUUAAAUUUCUUACGUAUUCACUGCGAAUGGUAUUUUUAUUAUAGCUGAUCAUGUUGUUUUUCAUGUCUCCUUAUGUCUUUUGUUCCUCCCAUAAUUGAUGGAGCUAUACAGAUAUUAUUUGUAAUGUAUAAAAGUAUUGUCAUUUAAUUAGCUCUACAUCCAUAAGAAAAUGAAAAAAAUAUAAUUAAUAGAAAAUAAUAAAUACGUUGCGGUAUUCUGGUUUAGUAAUGCAAGUAUAUAAGUUGUGUUACCACCCUCACGCCACUAGAGGCAGUAGCAAGCCCGAAAAGAUGCGACUAAGGAGCAGAUUUA
Poecilia latipinna (sailfin molly) is the source of this 315-nucleotide long non-coding RNA. RefSeq lists it as uncharacterized. The transcript has 2 exons. Lineage: Eukaryota; Metazoa; Chordata; Actinopteri; Cyprinodontiformes; Poeciliidae. The record is from RefSeq and is a predicted model, not a curated record.